GGGCAGUUCACCUGUGUGACUGGAAGGAGUGGAAUCUGGCUCCACCUCUCCUAGACCCCAUUUAAGGGCUACCUGCCACCAAAGAAGGAUCUCCUCUUGGAGAUUGUUCCCUUUGGGCUUUUCCUGAAAGCCCAGGAUGUGGGUGAGCAUUUUCAUUGAUUUUCAAUUAUCUCUUUCCACUGUGAUAAUCUUUCUAGCUAUACACUCUGUAGAUACUAGCAUGACCACUCUGUGUAUUUGCAGAUUAUACACCAGCUUAACCACACUGAAUAUUUGAUGAUUAUACAAAUGGCUUCUGGGUGUUUCAUCAUCUUCCUUUCAGUUUCUAAUCCAGGUAUCUCCUGCUCGCCUGACUCAAGAAGGACACCUCUUUUCACAUUCAUAUACUCUUUUCAGUUAUGGAGCAUCUCCUCCCUUUUAUCCUAUUAGUUUCUUCAUUUAUUUGCAGAUCUCUGGCCCUAAGUAUAAAGAUCAGUAUAAUUUUCUUAUCUUUUUUGUAGAAACCCAGUUGAAACAGGAUCUUGUGUAAUAAGUACUGAAGAUAAUGAGUAACUGCCUAACUCAGCAGAAGGAGACACAGACCGAACAGGGGAACAGCCUACUUCCAGGUUUGAGGUGGAGGAGUCAUCAAGCGUUUGGCUCUGUCAACACAAAUAAGGAUGAUGGAGACGUGGCCUGCAGCAAUGGCCUAAGAAACCAUAUUGAAAUAGUGCUCUCCAUGGUCAAUGGAGUGUGUCUGGCAGAUUUAUAUGAGGGACAAACUAAAGCAUGGGUGUCCAGCUUUUGGCCUAUCUGGCCCACCUUGAAUAGAGAGGAGUUGUCUUGAGGUGCAUGUGUAUAGAUCACUCUGACAGUAAUGCCUCAUAUUUAUUUCCAUGGAAAUUACAACAAAUAUGAAGAGCAGAAAAACUCUCUUUGAUAGAGAAAAUUCUCAGCUACAAAACAGUGUUUUUCAGUGCAGUCAUCGCUGUUAGCUAUGCAUUUUUGCCAGUGGUGAACAAGAGCAUAUGUGUCAUGCUCUUAAAAAUCUGUAUCACUCUCUGGAGAUGACCCACUGUCAAAACACACCACCCACUGCCUUGCUGUGAUGACAUCCACUGUUUGGUCUAUGUAAAUAUACAGCAAGCAGCAGUGAAUGGUAAUGGGUACUAUCUUCUCCUCAUAAAGGAAUUACAUUCCACUCCUUUGCUUCAUAUGUACGUCCAUGCUAUACUACAUCUUGCUACUAUGUCCCUCUGCUGCCAUAUACAGCAACAAAAUUUAAUGGAAUAUUGGUGGGAAGACUCGUCCUCUACUGCCAUAUCACCAACAUUUAUCUCUGAGGUAGUAGGCCAACAAAACAGGAGGCAUUUCUCUCAGAGCAGCGCUCAAAAU
This 1374-nucleotide long non-coding RNA is filed under the name Phasianus colchicus (ring-necked pheasant). RNAcentral describes it as "lncRNA (ENSPCLG00000018539.1)". The record is from RNAcentral. Lineage: Eukaryota; Metazoa; Chordata; Aves; Galliformes; Phasianidae.